UAUAAUCAUAAGGGAUUUUAUUUAGGUCAUACCUGAAUGGUAUAGGGGUUUCCCUACUUUCUUCAAUUUAAGUCUGAAUUUGGCAAUAAGGAGUUCAUGAUUUGAGCCACAGUCAUCUCUAGUCUUGUUUUUGCUGACUGUAUAGAGCCUCUCCAUCUUUGGGUGCAAAGAACAUAAUCAAU
Molecule: long non-coding RNA, 182 nt
Organism: Cervus elaphus (red deer)
Lineage: Eukaryota; Metazoa; Chordata; Mammalia; Artiodactyla; Cervidae
Exons: 3
Source: RefSeq, a predicted model, not a curated record